GGAUGAAGAGAGCUUGCUCUCUGAUUCAGCGGCGGACGGGUGAGUAAUGCCUAGGAAUCUGCCUGGUAGUGGGGGACAACGUCUCGAAAGGGACGCUAAUACCGCAUACGUCCUACGGGAGAAAGCAGGGGACCUUCGGGCCUUGCGCUAUCAGAUGAGCCUAGGUCGGAUUAGCUAGUUGGUGAGGUAAUGGCUCACCAAGGCGACGAUCCGUAACUGGUCUGAGAGGAUGAUCAGUCACACUGGAACUGAGACACGGUCCAGACUCCUACGGGAGGCAGCAGUGGGGAAUAUUGGACAAUGGGCGAAAGCCUGAUCCAGCCAUGCCGCGUGUGUGAAGAAGGUCUUCGGAUUGUAAAGCACUUUAAGUUGGGAGGAAGGGUUGUAGAUUAAUACUCUGCUGUUUUGACGUUACCGACAGAAUAAGCACCGGCUAACUCUGUGCCAGCAGCCGCGGUAAUACAGAGGGUGCAAGCGUUAAUCGGAAUUACUGGGCGUAA
Molecule: ribosomal RNA, 500 nt
Filed under: Pseudomonas sp. 12M16
Lineage: Bacteria; Pseudomonadati; Pseudomonadota; Gammaproteobacteria; Pseudomonadales; Pseudomonadaceae
Description: bacterial SSU rRNA
Rfam family: Bacterial small subunit ribosomal RNA
Source: RNAcentral